Molecule: ribosomal RNA, 240 nt
Filed under: uncultured bacterium
Lineage: Bacteria
Description: partial 16S ribosomal RNA
Rfam family: Bacterial small subunit ribosomal RNA
Source: RNAcentral
UGGGUAACCUGCCUUAUAGUGGGGGAUAGCCUUUCGAAAGGAAGAUUAAUACCGCAUAAGAUUGUAGUAUCGCAUGAUAUAGCAAUUAAAGGAAGCAAUUCGCUAUAAGAUGGACCCGCGUCGCAUUAGCUAGUUGGUGAGGUAAUGGCUCACCAAGGCGACGAUGCGUAGCCGACCUGAGAGGGUGAUCGGCCACAUUGGGACUGAGACACGGCCCAGACUCCUACGGGAGGCAGCAUG